AUGGAGUCUGGGCUGAGCUGGUUUUUCCGGGUGGCUGUGUUAGGAGGGGUCCAGUGUGAGGUGCAGUUGGUGGAGUCUGGGGGAGACUUGGUGCAGCCUGGGGAGUCCCUGAGACUCUCCUGUGAAGCCUCUGGAUUAAAUUUUGGCGGCACUUCAAUGAACUGGGUCCGCCAGGCUCCAGGCAAGGUCCUAGAGUGGAUUUCACACUUUAGCACUGAUGGUAGUACAAAGUAUGCCGACUCUGUGAAGGGCAGAUUCACCAUCUCCAGAGACAACAGCAAGAACACACUCUAUCUUCAAAUGAGCAGCCUGAGGGAGGAGGACACAGCCCUGUACUACUGUGUGAGAACACAGUGA
Molecule: non-coding RNA, 357 nt
Organism: Sorex araneus (European shrew)
Lineage: Eukaryota; Metazoa; Chordata; Mammalia; Eulipotyphla; Soricidae
Source: the annotation of a RefSeq genome assembly